CUGUAGUGCAUUGCAGUUGCAUUGCGUGUAUCUGUCUGGUGCAAUGCCCCAGCAAUGCAGUACAG
This 65-nucleotide microRNA precursor is filed under the name Sarcophilus harrisii (Tasmanian devil). Its description in RNAcentral is "mir-33 microRNA precursor family". It matches the Rfam family "mir-33 microRNA precursor family". The record is from Rfam by way of RNAcentral. Lineage: Eukaryota; Metazoa; Chordata; Mammalia; Dasyuromorphia; Dasyuridae.